GGACGAGCCUCUGGAGAGACUCAUUUAUGAAUGAGCACCGAAGGAGCAAAAUAUUGAAGAAAAUAUUAUUACAUUUAUUAUUUAAAGUAGUAAAUUUUUUUAGUAUUGAAACUCUCAGGUAAAAGGACAGAGGAUAGGAA
Molecule: non-coding RNA, 140 nt
Filed under: Clostridium neonatale
Lineage: Bacteria; Bacillati; Bacillota; Clostridia; Eubacteriales; Clostridiaceae
Description: Glycine
Rfam family: Glycine riboswitch aptamer
About the family: This family represents the bacterial glycine riboswitch. Glycine riboswitches usually consist of two metabolite-binding aptamers domains with similar structures in tandem. The aptamers cooperatively bind glycine to regulate the expression of downstream genes.
Source: RNAcentral